Hevea brasiliensis (rubber tree) is the source of this 1872-nucleotide long non-coding RNA. RefSeq lists it as uncharacterized. The transcript is spliced from 3 exons. NCBI's taxonomy places the organism in Eukaryota, Viridiplantae, Streptophyta, Magnoliopsida, Malpighiales, Euphorbiaceae. The record is from RefSeq and is a predicted model, not a curated record.
CACACCCAUCUUGUAAAAUCUUACCUUCUGUUUCAAAAGUGUGACUUUGCUCGAUUUGCGUUUGAUUCUAUGCCAAACGCAAGCUUUAGAUUGUAAAAUUCUAUGCUAUGGGCUUAUGCACGCGUGAAAAAUCACCAAGAAGCUUUUAAAUUGUACCAUUGCUUGUUAAAUGAAACUUAGAGCCGGAUAAGUUAAAUGAAACUUAGAGCCAGAUAAGUAUACUUCUACGUUUGUUUUGAAAGCUUGCACUGGUGCAUUAGAAUUUAAGGAGGUUGUUCUGCUUCAAUAUGAUAUGCUCUUUCGAGAACUAGAGUGAUAUUUUUAUUGGGACUGAUCCUGUUGACGGGCUUUGUAAAAUGGGCGAUUUGUAGAUUUAGCAAGAGACGUAUUUGAUAAAAUGUCUGGGAAAGAUGUUAUAAUGUGAAAAGCAAUGCUUUUGGGUUUGUCGCAGAGUGUUUUAUCCUAGGGAGGCAUUUGGGUUUAUUAGGAAUAAGCAAUCGGUUGAUGUGGCUAUACCAUUUAUGCAAAAUUUGGAUAACUAGAUGCAAUUAAAUCUUUGCUUCAAGGGCUGAAAGGAAGGGAUUUGGUUGCUUGAUCAGCAUUUAUGGAUGCCCUUGUUCAAUCAGGGUAUCCUGAAGAUGCUCUGUCACUACUUCCUGAUUGUGCAGAAAUAUUGUCCCUGAGAUUAGAUAAAAGCGUGCACUGUUAUAUUGUUAAAACCCAUAUUAAUUUGGGUAUAUCAGUCGGAACAGCCUUUGUUUCCUUGUCUGCUAAAAGUGGAUUCUUUGCUUCCGCAUUGACUAUAUUCAAUAAAAUGGCAUGCAAAAUUAUUGUGACGUGGAAUGCUUUGAUAAAUGGGUACACACAGCAUGGUGGCAUAUAUCUGAAAUAUGCCCAGACUCGGGAACUAUGGUGGAUUUGCUUUCAGUUCAGCAUUUUUCCUUUUAUAUGACCAAGACCAAGGAUCUUGCAUCCAUAGAAUCAUUACAGAGUAUGGCUUUGAAUCUCUAUGUCAUGUAAAAAAAGCUUUCAAUUGACAUGUAUGACCAAUGUGGAAGCCUUUCCACCGCUGAAUUCUUGUUCAAGGGAACCGAGUCUGAAAAGGAUGAGAUAUCUUGAAAUGUAUUGAUUGCAGGAUGUGCACAGGGGACAUGCUAAAGAAGCUAUUCCAACAUGUUGCAGGAUGAAAGUAGAAUUUUCAUCCUAAUUUAGUUACAAAUUGGGAGCGUCCUUCCUGCACUGCCAUAUCUGUCAGCCUCAAAGAAACGCCUGGCUUUUCAUGCCUGUAUUUGAGCCUCCAAAUUGUCUUAUCGAUAUGUACACUAAACGUGGUGAGCUUCAUUACUUAAGAACAUAUUUCUUAAGACGAGGAAAGAUAGUUUCAUUGAAUGUGAUGCUAGCAGGGAAUGCAGUUCAUGGGCAACGACAUGCAGGUUCAGUAGAUGGAGGAAAAUAUUUGAUUCCAUGCACAAAAAGCACCAGCUUGAACCAGGUUUGGAACACUAUGCUUGAAUGGUGGAUCUGUUACGUCGUGCUGGAUUAUUUGAUGAAAUUUUGCACUUAAUCAAGGAAAUUUCACGGGAUCCUGCAGAUGCCAAGGAGGCGGGGAGAUGCCUGAUGUACAACAUCAAAGAUGAUCAAGACAAAGCUGAAGAAAAGUCCAGGAUGGAGUUGGGUGUGGGGAAGUAGACAAAUAUAAGGUAUAUUUGCAUUUGGAGGGGUGACAAGGGCUAUUCACAAGGAAAAGAAUAUUAUUCGUAAUAGACCUACAACCAGUUGACCAUGCGCGUUUAGGUAAAAAAAAUCUUUUCUAAUAAAACUUCCUAUAUAAUGGCAAGAAUAUGUUGGUUGGGGGUCUAUCAAGGGUAAAUU